UACGUAGGGGGCAAGCGUUGUCCGGAAUUAUUGGGCGUAAAGAGCGCGUAGGCGGUCCGGUAAGUCGGUUGUGAAAGUCGGGGGCUCAACCCUCGGAUGCCGAUCGAUACUGUCGGGCUAGAGUCCGGAAGAGGCGAGUGGAAUUCCUGGUGUAGCGGUGAAAUGCGCAGAUAUCAGGAGGAACACCAAUGGCGAAGGCAGCUCGCUGGGACGGUAACUGACGCUGAGGCGCGAAAGCGUGGGGAGCAAACAGG
This 254-nucleotide ribosomal RNA is filed under the name uncultured bacterium. RNAcentral's name for it is "partial 16S ribosomal RNA". It matches the Rfam family "Bacterial small subunit ribosomal RNA", at positions 524 to 776 of the family's 1533-position model. The record is from RNAcentral.